Malus domestica (apple) is the source of this 329-nucleotide non-coding RNA. The record is from RefSeq and is a predicted model, not a curated record. NCBI's taxonomy places the organism in Eukaryota, Viridiplantae, Streptophyta, Magnoliopsida, Rosales, Rosaceae.
CCAAAUCCGACAAAUCAAAUCAGUUGCGACAAACAAGAAUGUAAAGAGGACACUAUUUGUUGAAAAUGAAACUUCAAAAACUCACAGCAAACAUGAUGAGGGGAGCCAACCACUGUCUACUAAUUCAACCAGAAUCUCGGCAGAAAUCUCUAACUUGGUUGUCCCAAAAGUUGAACCUGCAGACAAAACGCCGAUCAGUACAUUAAGAAGUAGAUCACAAGCAAAGAAAAUCAAGGACAGUGUUGGAGAUGUUCAUUCGCAAAAGAAAUGAGCUAUAGAAGACUUUAUCAUGGACUGCUGCAAAGGAUCGAACAUAUGUAUUUUUUGGC